RNAcentral lists this ribosomal RNA (915 nucleotides) under uncultured archaeon. RNAcentral describes it as "bacterial SSU rRNA". It matches the Rfam family "Archaeal small subunit ribosomal RNA", at positions 1 to 922 of the family's 1478-position model. The record is from RNAcentral.
UUCCCGGUUGAUCCCGCCGGAGGCCACCGCUAUUGGAAUCCGAUUAAGACAUGUGAGUCGAGAGUCUUCGGGACUCGGCAGACGGCUCAGUAACACGCGGAUAAUCUGCCAUUGGGUGGGGAAUAAUCUCGGGAAACUGAGCAUAAUACCCCAUAGGCCUGAGACGCUGGAACGCCCUCAGGCUAAAAGCUCCGGCGCCCAAGGAUGAGUCUGCGGCCUAUCAGCUUGUAGUUGGUGUAAAUGACCAACUAGGCGACGACGGGUACGGGCAUUGGGAGAUGUAGCCCGGAGAUGGACUCUGAGACACGAGUCCAGGCCCUACGGGGCGCAGCAGUCGCGAAAACUUCACAAUGUGGGAAACCGCGAUGAGGGGAUUCCAAGUGCUUGCGUUUUGCGUAAGCUGUUCUCCUGCCUAAAAAGCAGGGGGAGUAAGGGCUGGGUAAGACGGGUGCCAGCCGCCGCGGUAAUACCCGCAGCCCAAGUGGUGGUCGAUAUUAUUGAGCUUAAAGCGUCCGUAGCCUGUCUGGUAAAUUCUUGGGUAAAUCGUGCAGCUUAACUGUCCGAAUUCCGGGGAGACUGCCAGACUUGGGACCGGGAGAGGUUGGAGGUACUCCUGGGGUAGGGGUAAAAUCCCGUAAUCCUGGGAGGACCAUCAGUGGCGAAGGCGUCCAACUGGAACGGAUCCGACGGUCAGGGACGAAGCCCUGGGUCGCGAACUGGAUUAGAUACCCAGGUAGUCCAGGGUGUAAACGCUGCAGACUUGGUGUCGGAGGUCCUACGAGGGCGUCCGGUGCCGGAGAGAAAUUGUUAAGUCUGCCGCUUGGGGAGUACGUCCGCAAGGAUGAAACUUAAAGGAAUUGGCGGGAGAGCACCGCAACGGGAGGAGCGUGCGGUUCAAUUGGAUUCAACGCCGGG